RNAcentral lists this ribosomal RNA (467 nucleotides) under uncultured bacterium. RNAcentral's name for it is "partial 16S ribosomal RNA". It matches the Rfam family "Bacterial small subunit ribosomal RNA", at positions 29 to 507 of the family's 1533-position model. The record is from RNAcentral.
ACGAACGCUGGCGGCGUGCUUAACCCAUGCCAGUCGAACGGAAAGGCCCUGCUUUUGUGGGGUGCUCGAGUGGCGAACGGGUGAGUAACACGUGAGUAACCUGCCCUUGACUUUGGGAUAACUUCAGGAAACUGGGGCUAAUACCGGAUAGGAGCUCCUGCUGCAUGGUGGGGGUUGGAAAGUUUCGGCGGUUGGGGAUGGACUCGCGGCUUAUCAGCUUGUUGGUGGGGUAGUGGCUUACCAAGGCUUUGACGGGUAGCCGACCUGAGAGGGUGACCGGCCACAUUGGGACUGAGAUACGGCCCAGACUCCUACGGGAGGCAGCAGUGGGGAAUAUUGCACAAUGGGCGGAAGCCUGAUGCAGCAACGCCGCGUGCGGGAUGACGGCCUUCGGGUUGUAAACCGCCUUCGCCUGUGACGAAGCGUGAGUGACGGUAAUGGGUAAAGAAGCACCGGCUAACUACGUG